GACGAACGCUGGCGGCGUGCUUAACACAUGCAAGUCGAACGGAAAGGCCCCUUCGGGGGUACUCGAGUGGCGAACAGGUGCGUAACACGUGAGUAACCUGCCCUUGACUUCGGGAUAACUUCAGGAAACUGGGGCUAAUACCGGAUAGGAAUCCUUGCUGCAUGGUGGGGGUUGGAAAGCUUCGGCGGUUUUGGAUGGACUCGCGGCAUAUCAGCUUGUUGGUGGGGUAGUGGCUUACCAAGGCGUUGACGGGUAGCCGGCCUGAGAGGGCGACCGGCCAUAUUGGGACUGAGAGACGGCCCAGACUCCUACGGGUGGCAGCAGUGGGGAAUAUUGCACAAGGGGCGGAGGCCGGAUGCAGCAACGCCGCGGGCGGUAUGACGGCCUUCGGGUUGUAAACCGCUUUCAGCAGGGGCGAAGCUUGUGGUGACGGUACCUGCAGAAGAAGCACCGGCUAACUACGUG
Molecule: ribosomal RNA, 465 nt
Filed under: uncultured bacterium
Lineage: Bacteria
Description: partial 16S ribosomal RNA
Rfam family: Bacterial small subunit ribosomal RNA
Source: RNAcentral